Long non-coding RNA from Tupaia belangeri chinensis (Chinese tree shrew), 208 nucleotides. RefSeq lists it as uncharacterized. The transcript has 3 exons. Lineage: Eukaryota; Metazoa; Chordata; Mammalia; Scandentia; Tupaiidae. The record is from RefSeq and is a predicted model, not a curated record.
CUUCUAGACCCCUGAAACAAUCAGACAAGGAAAUAGUAAGAAGACAAGUGUUUGUAAGCAUGAGACGGUUUUCACUGGGAAUUGUAUCAUGUGUGAACCUGACGUUGAACUGUGAGAAACAAGUGUCUGUCAUCAUGCCACACCAUCUAUGUUAUUUUGUUAGAGCAGCUUAAGCUAACUGAUACAGUGAGUGCACACACCCUAAAGC